This 398-nucleotide ribosomal RNA is filed under the name uncultured bacterium. RNAcentral's name for it is "bacterial SSU rRNA". It matches the Rfam family "Bacterial small subunit ribosomal RNA", at positions 958 to 1356 of the family's 1533-position model. The record is from RNAcentral.
AACGCGAAGAACCUUACCUGGGUUUGACAUACACCGGAAAGCGGUAGAGAUACGGCCCCCCUUGUGGUUGGUGUACAGGUGGUGCAUGGCUGUCGUCAGCUCGUGUCGUGAGAUGUUGGGUUAAGUCCCGCAACGAGCGCAACCCUUGUCCUGUAUUGCCAGCGGGUUAUGCCGGGGACUUGCAGGAGACUGCCGGGGUCAACUCGGAGGAAGGUGGGGAUGACGUCAAGUCAUCAUGCCCCUUAUGUCCAGGGCUUCACACAUGCUACAAUGGCGCGUACAGAGGGCUGCGAGACCGUGAGGUGGAGCGAAUCCCUUAAAGCGCGUCUCAGUUCGGAUUGGGGUCUGCAACUCGACCCCAUGAAGUCGGAGUCGCUAGUAAUCGCAGAUCAGCAACG